RNAcentral lists this ribosomal RNA (433 nucleotides) under uncultured bacterium. RNAcentral's name for it is "partial 16S ribosomal RNA". It matches the Rfam family "Bacterial small subunit ribosomal RNA", at positions 29 to 507 of the family's 1533-position model. The record is from RNAcentral.
AAUGAACGCUGGCGGCAGGCCUAACACAUGCAAGUCGAGCGAGCAUUUCGGUGCUAGCGGCGGACGGGUGAGUAACGCGUGGGAACGUGCCCUUUUCUGCGGAAUAGUCCUGGGAAACUGGGGGUAAUACCGCAUACGCCCUUUUGGGGAAAGAUUUAUCGGAGAAGGAUCGGCCCGCGUUGGAUUAGGUAGUUGGUGGGGUAAUGGCCCACCAAGCCGACGAUCCAUAGCUGGUUUGAGAGGAUGAUCAGCCACACUGGGGCUGAGACACGGCCCAGACUCCUACGGGAGGCAGCAGUGGGGAAUCUUAGACAAUGGGGGCAACCCUGAUCUAGCCAUGCCGCGUGAGUGAUGAAGGCCUUAGGGUUGUAAAGCUCUUUCAGCUGGGAAGAUAAUGACGGUACCAGCAGAAGAAGCCCCGGCUAACUCCGUG